RNAcentral lists this ribosomal RNA (1369 nucleotides) under uncultured bacterium. Its description in RNAcentral is "bacterial SSU rRNA". It matches the Rfam family "Bacterial small subunit ribosomal RNA", at positions 28 to 1381 of the family's 1533-position model. The record is from RNAcentral.
GACGAACGCUGGCGGCGUGCCUAAUACAUGCAAGUAGAACGCUGAAGAGAGGAGCUUGCUCUUCUUGGAUGAGUUGCGAACGGGUGAGUAACGCGUAGGUAACCUGCCUUGUAGCGGGGGAUAACUAUUGGAAACGAUAGCUAAUACCGCAUAACAAUGGAUGACACAUGUCAUUUAUUUGAAAGGGGCAAUUGCUCCACUACAAGAUGGACCUGCGUUGUAUUAGCUAGUAGGUGAGGUAAUGGCUCACCUAGGCGACGAUACAUAGCCGACCUGAGAGGGUGAUCGGCCACACUGGGACUGAGACACUGCCCAGACUCCUACGGGAGGCAGCAGUAGGGAAUCUUCGGCAAUGGGGGCAACCCUGACCGAGCAACGCCGCGUGAGUGAAGAAGGUUUUCGGAUCGUAAAGCUCUGUUGUAAGUCAAGAACGGGUGUGAGAGUGGAAAGUUCACACUGUGACGGUAGCUUACCAGAAAGGGACGGCUAACUACGUGCCAGCAGCCGCGGUAAUACGUAGGUCCCGAGCGUUGUCCGGAUUUAUUGGGCGUAAAGCGAGCGCAGGCGGUUUGAUAAGUCUGAAGUUAAAGGCUGUGGCUCAACCAUAGUUCGCUUUGGAAACUGUCAAACUUGAGUGCAGAAGGGGAGAGUGGAAUUCCAUGUGUAGCGGUGAAAUGCGUAGAUAUAUGGAGGAACACCGGUGGCGAAAGCGGCUCUCUGGUCUGUAACUGACGCUGAGGCUCGAAAGCGUGGGGAGCGAACAGGAUUAGAUACCCUGGUAGUCCACGCCGUAAACGAUGAGUGCUAGGUGUUGGAUCCUUUCCGGGAUUCAGUGCCGCAGCUAACGCAUUAAGCACUCCGCCUGGGGAGUACGACCGCAAGGUUGAAACUCAAAGGAAUUGACGGGGGCCCGCACAAGCGGUGGAGCAUGUGGUUUAAUUCGAAGCAACGCGAAGAACCUUACCAGGUCUUGACAUCCCGAUGCUAUUUCUAGAGAUAGAAAGUUACUUCGGUACAUCGGUGACAGGUGGUGCAUGGUUGUCGUCAGCUCGUGUCGUGAGAUGUUGGGUUAAGUCCCGCAACGAGCGCAACCCCUAUUGUUAGUUGCCAUCAUUCAGUUGGGCACUCUAGCGAGACUGCCGGUAAUAAACCGGAGGAAGGUGGGGAUGACGUCAAAUCAUCAUGCCCCUUAUGACCUGGGCUACACACGUGCUACAAUGGUUGGUACAACGAGUUGCGAGUCGGUGACGGCGAGCUAAUCUCUUAAAGCCAAUCUCAGUUCGGAUUGUAGGCUGCAACUCGCCUACAUGAAGUCGGAAUCGCUAGUAAUCGCGGAUCAGCACGCCGCGGUGAAUACGUUCCCGGGCCU